RNAcentral lists this long non-coding RNA (510 nucleotides) under Heterocephalus glaber (naked mole-rat). RNAcentral describes it as "lncRNA (ENSHGLG00000047466.1)". Lineage: Eukaryota; Metazoa; Chordata; Mammalia; Rodentia; Bathyergidae. The record is from RNAcentral.
CGCAAGUUUGUAAUCCAGCCACAGCCUCCAGAGUGCUGGGAUGAGCACCACGCCCACCUGCCCGAUUGAUAGGCUCAAAAUUCUACAGCAAAUCUGCCCAGCUAGGAUGGAGGGCACUGGCCCGACUUCUUGCUUCUGGCUCUAAUGGUUGCUUUCCCAUUGCCCUAUUCCUGUUUCCACUGUGGAAAUCAGCAUUGAUCUGCAUAUCUGAUCUGUUGCACUGCAGAACGGUAAGGAACAGAGGAGGCCCCCAACACUUAAAGCUCUUGAGUGGAUUCCAGACAACUGAGAAGAUAGGUGCUUGAUUGCCAUGGGUGGUUAGUGCUGGAAUUCAGGAAACUUUGAUCCCCACCCCUCUGCCACUAACCUGUUGUGUGGCCUUCGCACAACCAACUGGGGACCAUCCCUGUACUCAGUUUCCCAUCUAAAAUCAAAGGGUUGAAUAAUAACAACAUACUGAAGUGUUUUUCUGGUUGCAGAUGUUGUAAGGAGACUUCACAUUUAAAAAAA